GAUGAACGCUGGCGGCGUGCCUAAUACAUGCAAGUCGAGCGAACGGACGAGAAGCUUGCUUCUCUGAUGUUAGCGGCGGACGGGUGAGUAACACGUGGAUAACCUACCUAUAAGACUGGGAUAACUUCGGGAAACCGGAGCUAAUACCGGAUAAUAUUUUGAACCGCAUGGUUCAAAAGUGAAAGACGGUCUUGCUGUCACUUAUAGAUGGAUCCGCGCUGCAUUAGCUAGUUGGUAAGGUAACGGCUUACCAAGGCAACGAUGCAUAGUCGACCUGAGAGGGUGAUCGGCCACACUGGAACUGAGACACGGUCCAGACUCCUACGGGAGGCAGCAGUAGGGAAUCUUCCGCAAUGGGCGAAAGCCUGACGGAGCAACGCCGCGUGAGCGAUGAAGGUCUUCGGAUCGUAAAACUCUGUUAUUAGGGAAGAACAUAUGUGUAAGUAACUGUGCACAUCUUGACGGUACCUAAUCAGAAAGCCACGGCUAACUACGUG
This 497-nucleotide ribosomal RNA is filed under the name uncultured bacterium. RNAcentral describes it as "partial 16S ribosomal RNA". It matches the Rfam family "Bacterial small subunit ribosomal RNA", at positions 28 to 507 of the family's 1533-position model. The record is from RNAcentral.